This 1457-nucleotide ribosomal RNA is filed under the name Acinetobacter baumannii. RNAcentral's name for it is "partial 23S ribosomal RNA". It matches the Rfam family "Bacterial large subunit ribosomal RNA", at positions 1494 to 2925 of the family's 2925-position model. The record is from RNAcentral. Lineage: Bacteria; Pseudomonadati; Pseudomonadota; Gammaproteobacteria; Moraxellales; Moraxellaceae.
GGCGUUGGUUGUCCAGGUGAAAGGAUGUAGGCAUGUAUCUUAGGCAAAUCCGGGGUACUCUAUGCUGAGAUCUGAUAGCAAGCUGUACUUGUACAGCGAAGUGGUUGAUGCCAUGCUUCCAGGAAAAGUCUCUAAGCUUCAGUUACACAGGAAUCGUACCCGAAACCGACACAGGUGGUCAGGUCGAGUAGACCAAGGCGCUUGAGAGAACUCUGCUGAAGGAACUAGGCAAAAUGGUACCGUAACUUCGGGAGAAGGUACGCUGUUGUUGGUGAUGGAACUCGCUUCCUGAGCUGACGACAGCCGCAGAAACCAGGCCGCUGCAACUGUUUAUUAAAAACAUAGCACUCUGCAAACACGAAAGUGGACGUAUAGGGUGUGAUGCCUGCCCGGUGCUGGAAGGUUAAUUGAUGGGGUUAGCGUAAGCGAAGCUCUUGAUCGAAGCCCCAGUAAACGGCGGCCGUAACUAUAACGGUCCUAAGGUAGCGAAAUUCCUUGUCGGGUAAGUUCCGACCUGCACGAAUGGCAUAAUGAUGGCGGCGCUGUCUCCAGCAGAGGCUCAGUGAAAUCGAAAUCGCUGUGAAGAUGCAGUGUACCCGCGGCUAGACGGAAAGACCCCGUGAACCUUUACUGCAGCUUGACACUGAACUUUGACCUUACUUGUGUAGGAUAGGUGGGAGGCUUUGAAGCUGGAACGCUAGUUCCAGUGGAGCCGUCCUUGAAAUACCACCCUGGUAAUGUUGAGGUUCUAACUCUGUCCCGUGAUCCGGGACGAGGACCGUGUCUGGUGGGUAGUUUGACUGGGGCGGUCUCCUCCUAAAGAGUAACGGAGGAGUACGAAGGUGCGCUCAGCGUGGUCGGAAAUCACGCGUAGAGUAUAAAGGCAAAAGCGCGCUUAACUGCGAGACCCACAAGUCGAGCAGGUACGAAAGUAGGUCUUAGUGAUCCGGUGGUUCUGUAUGGAAGGGCCAUCGCUCAACGGAUAAAAGGUACUCUGGGGAUAACAGGCUGAUACCGCCCAAGAGUUCAUAUCGACGGCGGUGUUUGGCACCUCGAUGUCGGCUCAUCUCAUCCUGGGGCUGAAGCAGGUCCCAAGGGUAUGGCUGUUCGCCAUUUAAAGAGGUACGCGAGCUGGGUUUAGAACGUCGUGAGACAGUUCGGUCCCUAUCUACCGUGGGCGCUGGAAAUUUGAGAGGAUCUGCUCCUAGUACGAGAGGACCAGAGUGGACGAACCUCUGGUGUACCGGUUGUGACGCCAGUCGCAUCGCCGGGUAGCUAUGUUCGGAAGGGAUAACCGCUGAAAGCAUCUAAGCGGGAAGCCUACCUCAAGAUAAGAUUUCCCUAGGACUUUAUGUCCUCUAAAGAGCCGUUCGAGACUAGGACGUUGAUAGGUUGGAUGUGGAAGCAUAGUGAUAUGUGAAGCUGACCAAUACUAAUUGCUCGUGAGGCUUGACUAU